RNAcentral lists this ribosomal RNA (271 nucleotides) under uncultured archaeon. Its description in RNAcentral is "partial 16S ribosomal RNA". It matches the Rfam family "Bacterial small subunit ribosomal RNA", at positions 524 to 794 of the family's 1533-position model. The record is from RNAcentral.
UACGAAGGGGGCUAGCGUUGUUCGGAUUUACUGGGCGUAAAGCGCGUGUAGGCGGGCUGGUAAGUUGGGGGUGAAAUCCCGAGGCUCAACCUCGGAACUGCCUCCAAAACUGUCAGCCUGGACCCAAGUAGAGGCAAGUGGAAUUGCGAGUGUAGAGGUGAAAUUCGUAGAUAUUCGCAGGAACACCAGUGGCGAAGGCGACUUGCUGGACUUGUGGUGACGCUGAGACGCGAAAGCGUGGGGAGCAAACAGGAUUAGAAACCCUGGUAGU